AAAUUACCGAGUUAAAGCGAUA
Molecule: small nuclear RNA, 22 nt
Filed under: Arabidopsis thaliana (thale cress)
Lineage: Eukaryota; Viridiplantae; Streptophyta; Magnoliopsida; Brassicales; Brassicaceae
Description: snRNA_02075
Source: RNAcentral